Molecule: long non-coding RNA, 722 nt
Organism: Choloepus didactylus (southern two-toed sloth)
Lineage: Eukaryota; Metazoa; Chordata; Mammalia; Pilosa; Megalonychidae
Exons: 3
Source: RefSeq, a predicted model, not a curated record
GUUUCAUUUCGGGUCUAACACUAUGUGACCUUAUGACUUAGGAGAGUCCCUGCAGGAGGGGUCAAAUGUUGACUCAGGGUUCUAUGGAGCAAUCCACAUUAGGUCUCGCUUUUUCCAGAGGAGAAGGAGUGGUAGGUACUGUCCACCUGGCACAGCACCACUCCCCUGCGAGGCCAUGGGCCCUGCACUGCCCACCUUUGUUGUUGCAGGCGAUCCAUCUCAUGCGGUCAGCGAAAGUCACUUCUCUCCCAAUCAGCCCACUCUUUCAGGGGUCAGAGCACACCUUUCUGCUUUAAAGAGGCAGACCUGUUCUUCUAGAAUGAUCCUCCGCUCCCUUGAGGACUGUGAUGCUGUGACCCCACCAGGAGACUGCACCUGGCGUUUGCACAGAACCCUAACGGAUCCUGCUGUAACCCUCAGAACAGUUCUGGAAGAUGACCCCCACAUUGGACAAGCUUCAGACCCCAAGGAAGCUGGCUGCCCCUGUCCUGGUGCCCCAUUCAUCUCAAACUUGAACCCACUCUGAUGUGUUAAACCUACGAGUUGUGCAGAGACCUCCAUCGAGGCCCAUUUCACAAACAUAGCCCUUCGGACCUGCUUGGGAGAUCCUUGAUGUACUUGUAAAGAAAAACCCUGAUAUUGGGAUGAUGGGUAGGAUCAUAUAUAUCUUUUGAAAGACGAACCAAGGUCUUGCACUCUCUGCGUGAACCCUUACCAGCCAU